AGUGAACGCUGGCGGUAGGCCUAACACAUGCAAGUCGAACGGCAGCACAGUAAGAGCUUGCUCUUACGGGUGGCGAGUGGCGGACGGGUGAGGAAUACAUCGGAAUCUACUUUUUCGUGGGGGAUAACGUAGGGAAACUUACGCUAAUACCGCAUACGACCUACGGGUGAAAGCAGGGGAUCUUCGGACCUUGCGCGAUUGAAUGAGCCGAUGUCGGAUUAGCUAGUUGGCGGGGUAAAGGCCCACCAAGGCGACGAUCCGUAGCUGGUCUGAGAGGAUGAUCAGCCACACUGGAACUGAGACACGGUCCAGACUCCUACGGGAGGCAGCAGUGGGGAAUAGUGGACAAUGGGCGCAAACCUGAUCCAGCCAUACCGCGUGGGUGAAGAAGGCCUUCGGGUUGUAAAGCCCUUUUGUUGGGAAAGAAAAGCAGCAGGUUAAUACCCCGCUGUUCUGACGGUACCCAAAGAAUAAGCACCGGCUAACUUCGUG
This 492-nucleotide ribosomal RNA is filed under the name uncultured bacterium. RNAcentral's name for it is "partial 16S ribosomal RNA". It matches the Rfam family "Bacterial small subunit ribosomal RNA", at positions 29 to 507 of the family's 1533-position model. The record is from RNAcentral.